This 528-nucleotide long non-coding RNA is filed under the name Nicotiana benthamiana. Its description in RNAcentral is "long non-coding RNA (NBEN_LNC029026)". Lineage: Eukaryota; Viridiplantae; Streptophyta; Magnoliopsida; Solanales; Solanaceae. The record is from RNAcentral.
CUUGACUGCCUCUCAGCAGAUGCCAAAUAUAAAGGUUCAACCAGUUGAUCAGUCAGCGCAGAUGAACUUUCAGUCCCAGCAUUCACUAGGAGAUAACCGUUUAUCUUCCUAUCAGCAUCAACAUUGUCAACAGCCCCCUCAGCAGUUCCAGGAGCAACGUCAAUUUGUUCAACCUCAACCUCAACAGAAGCUGCAAAGUCAGCAGCACCAACUUUUGUCAAUUCAACAGCCGCCUCAGCAGUUCCAGGAGCAACGUCAAUUUGUUCAACCUCAACCUCAACAGAAGCUGCAAAGUCAGCAGCACCAACUUUUGUCAACGAGCAAUACUUUUGCUCAAGCUCAGCUACCUUCUGAUCUUGGUAUUCGGGUAAAGUCUGAGUCUGGAAAUCAUGAUGAAGCACAGCAUUCUCGGGUAAAUGCUGAGCAAUUUCAGUUUUCUAACAUAAAUCAGUUUCAGUCAAAUUCAGUUGAAGACCAUUCUAAAGGUACUCAAUUGCUCCCUCCUCUGUCUAGGUUAUUCGUUUGUCA